This 24-nucleotide non-coding RNA is filed under the name Cricetulus griseus (Chinese hamster). Lineage: Eukaryota; Metazoa; Chordata; Mammalia; Rodentia; Cricetidae. The record is from RNAcentral.
CAAACGAAGGGGAAAGUAAAGCUG